Molecule: ribosomal RNA, 460 nt
Filed under: uncultured bacterium
Lineage: Bacteria
Description: partial 16S ribosomal RNA
Rfam family: Bacterial small subunit ribosomal RNA
Source: RNAcentral
CCUACGGGAGGCUGCAGUGAGGAAUAUUGGUCAAUGGACGAGAGUCUGAACCAGCCAAGUAGCGUGAAGGAUGACUGCCCUAUGGGUUGUAAACUUCUUUUAUAUGGGAAUAAAAUGUUCCACGUGUGGGAUUUUGUAUGUACCAUAUGAAUAAGGAUCGGCUAACUCCGUGCCAGCAGCCGCGGUAAUACGGAGGAUCCGAGCGUUAUCCGGAUUUAUUGGGUUUAAAGGGAGCGUAGGUGGUUUGAUAAGUUAGGUGUGAAAGUUUGCGGCUCAACCGUAAAAUUGCAGUUGAGACUGGCAGGCUUGAGUACAGUGGAGGUGGGCGGAAUUCGUGGUGUAGCGGUGAAAUGCUUAGAUAUCACGAAGAACUCCGAUUGCGAAGGCAGUUCACUGGUCUGCAACUGACACUGAGGCUCGAAAGUGUGGGUAUCAAACAGGAUUAGAUACCCGGGUAGUC